This 466-nucleotide ribosomal RNA is filed under the name uncultured bacterium. Its description in RNAcentral is "partial 16S ribosomal RNA". It matches the Rfam family "Bacterial small subunit ribosomal RNA", at positions 28 to 507 of the family's 1533-position model. The record is from RNAcentral.
GACGAACGCUGGCGGCGUGCUUAACACAUGCAAGUCGAACGGAAAGGCCCUGCUUGCAGGGUACUCGAGUGGCGAACGGGUGAGUAACACGUGGGUGAGCUGCCCUGCACUUCGGGAUAAGCUUGGGAAACUGGGUCUAAUACCGGAUAGGAGCCAUCUUUAGUGUGGUGGUUGGAAAGUUUUUUCGGUGUAGGAUGAGCUCGCGGCCUAUCAGCUUGUUGGUGGGGUAAUGGCCUACCAAGGCGGCGACGGGUAGCCGGCCUGAGAGGGUGUACGGCCACAGUGGGACGGAGAGACGGGCCAGACUCCUACGGGAGGCAGAAGGGGGGAAUAUUGCACAAUGGGCGCAAGCCUGAGGCAGCGACGCCGCGGGGGGGAUGAAGGCCUUCGGGUUGUAAACUCCUGUCGCUAGGGACGAAGCUUUGUUGUGACGGUACCUAGAUAAGAAGCACCGGCUAACUACGUG